Molecule: ribosomal RNA, 429 nt
Filed under: Gemmatimonadota bacterium
Lineage: Bacteria; Pseudomonadati; Gemmatimonadota
Description: Gemmatimonadetes bacterium partial 16S ribosomal RNA
Rfam family: Bacterial small subunit ribosomal RNA
Source: RNAcentral
UAGGGAAUCUUCGGCAAUGGACGAAAGUCUGACCGAGCAACGCCGCGUGAGUGAAGAAGGUUUUCGGAUCGUAAAACUCUGUUGUUAGAGAAGAACAAGGACGUUAGUAACUGAACGUCCCCUGACGGUAUCUAACCAGAAAGCCACGGCUAACUACGUGCCAGCAGCCGCGGUAAUACGUAGGUGGCAAGCGUUGUCCGGAUUUAUUGGGCGUAAAGCGAGCGCAGGCGGUUUCUUAAGUCUGAUGUGAAAGCCCCCGGCUCAACCGGGGAGGGUCAUUGGAAACUGGGAGACUUGAGUGUAGAAGAGGAGAGUGGAAUUCCAUGUGUAGCGGUGAAAUGCGUAGAUAUAUGGAGGAACACCAGUGGCGAAGGUGGCUCUCUGGUCUGUAACUGACGCUGAGGCUCGAAAGCGUGGGGAGCAAACAGG